GAUGAAGAACGUAGCGAAAUGCGAUAAGUAAUGUGAAUUGCAGAAUUCAGUGAAUCAUCGAAUCUUUGAACGCACAUUGCACCCCCUGGUAUUCCGGGGGGCAUGCCUGUUCGAGCGUCAUUUCAACCCUCAAGCUCUGCUUGGUAUUGGGCGUCGCCGGGGAGUCUCCCCGGCGUGCCUCAAAGCCAUCGGCGGUGGUGCCUUUCUCUAAGCGUGGUAGAAUUUUUAUUCGCUUCUGAGUUGGGCUUCACCUGCCGGACAAACCGGGCCCUCGCGGCCCACCUUCUCAGGUUGACCUCGGAUCAGGUAGGGAUACCCGCUGAACUUAAGCAUAUCAAUAAGCGGAGGA
RNAcentral lists this unclassified non-coding RNA (349 nucleotides) under soil metagenome. Its description in RNAcentral is "partial contains 5.8S ribosomal RNA, internal transcribed spacer 2, and large subunit ribosomal RNA". The stretch from base 1 to 120 matches the Rfam family "5.8S ribosomal RNA", at positions 35 to 154 of the family's 154-position model. The record is from RNAcentral.